RNAcentral lists this ribosomal RNA (497 nucleotides) under uncultured bacterium. Its description in RNAcentral is "partial 16S ribosomal RNA". It matches the Rfam family "Bacterial small subunit ribosomal RNA", at positions 28 to 507 of the family's 1533-position model. The record is from RNAcentral.
GAUGAACGCUGGCGGCGUGCCUAAUACAUGCAAGUCGAGCGAACGGACGAGAAGCUUGCUUCUCUGAUGUUAGCGGCGGACGGGUGAGUAACACGUGGAUAACCUACCUAUAAGACUGGGAUAACUUCGGGAAACCGGAACUAAUACCGGAUGAUAUUUUGAACCGCAUGGUUCAAAAGUGAAAGACGGUCUUGCUGUCACUUAUAGAUGGAUCCGCGCUGCAUUAGCUAGUUGGUAAGGUAACGGCUUACCAAGGCAACGAUGCAUAGCCGACCUGAGAGGGUGAUCGGCCACACUGGAACUGAGACACGGUCCAGACUCCUACGGGAGGCAGCAGUAGGGAAUCUUCCGCAAUGGGCGAAAGCCUGACGGAGCAACGCCGCGUGAGUGAUGAAGGUCUUCGGAUCGUAAAACUCUGCUAUUAGGGAAGAACAUAUGUGUAAGUAACUGUGCACAUCUUGACGGUACCUAAUCAGAAGGCCACGGCUAACUACGUG